UUGUUCCUGGUCCUCAGUCUUUCACCAUCAAGUUUGAUGCUACCUGUAGUUCUGCGUGCAUUUUGUAGAUGCUUAGUAUCAAGCUGAUCCCAAGGUCACCAGGCAAUCCGCCUUCUUCUUUUCCUGUGCUGGCUUGUUUUGUCAUGACCAGGGACUUUUGGUCCUAAGAGGAAACCAAGAGCAAAGGGGCAGCUCCAUCUUGACUGGCACUAGAAGACUCUCUGGUGCUCGCUCUCUCCUGGCCACGUGACGAAGAAGCCCGCUUCCCCCUCGCCUUCCACCAGGAUUAGCUCAGAAGAACACGAACUGUGGACCCCGAGGUGAAGCAUGCAGGCCGGGAUUCCACUCAGGCCCCUGCCCUGGCACCAAGUCC
Homo sapiens (human) is the source of this 373-nucleotide long non-coding RNA. RefSeq lists it as uncharacterized. The transcript has 4 exons. The record is from RefSeq and is a predicted model, not a curated record. Lineage: Eukaryota; Metazoa; Chordata; Mammalia; Primates; Hominidae.